This 433-nucleotide ribosomal RNA is filed under the name uncultured bacterium. RNAcentral's name for it is "partial 16S ribosomal RNA". It matches the Rfam family "Bacterial small subunit ribosomal RNA", at positions 29 to 507 of the family's 1533-position model. The record is from RNAcentral.
AGCGAACGCUGGCGGCAGGCCUAACACAUGCAAGUCGAACGAACUCUUCGGAGUUAGUGGCGGACGGGUGAGUAACACGUGGGAACGUGCCUUUAGGUUCGGAAUAACUCAGGGAAACUUGUGCUAAUACCGAAUGUGCCCUUCGGGGGAAAGAUUCAUCGCCUUUAGAGCGGCCCGCGUCUGAUUAGCUAGUUGGUGAGGUAAAGGCUCACCAAGGCGACGAUCAGUAGCUGGUCUGAGAGGAUGAUCAGCCACAUUGGGACUGAGACACGGCCCAAACUCCUACGGGAAGCAGCAGUGGGGAAUCUUGCGCAAUGGGCGAAAGCCUGACGCAGCCAUGCCGCGUGAAUGAUGAAGGUCUUAGGAUUGUAAAAUUCUUUCACCGGGGACGAUAAUGACGGUACCCGGAGAAGAAGCCCCGGCUAACUUCGUG